Molecule: transfer-messenger RNA, 182 nt
Filed under: Gammaproteobacteria bacterium
Lineage: Bacteria; Pseudomonadati; Pseudomonadota; Gammaproteobacteria
Description: partial transfer-messenger RNA
Rfam family: transfer-messenger RNA
About the family: Bacterial tmRNA, also known as 10Sa RNA or SsrA, is named for its dual tRNA and mRNA-like properties.
Source: RNAcentral
GGGGACGACCUGGCUUCGACGUGGGUUGCAAAACCUGAGGUGCAUGCCGAGGAUGUAGACUCCUCGUAAAUCAUUCUGCAAAUUUAUAGUUGCCAACGACGACAACUACGCACUCGCAGCUUAAACACCUGUAGAAUGCCGUCUGACUGAAGCCGUGCUUAUGCGUUCAGAUUCCAGGCGUC